GUGAGCAGGGAAACUGAUGGAGGACAGCAGGCAUGCGUCGUGAUGUUAGGAUGGGUGCUGCUGAGGAGGUAAGAAGAGAGGAGGGGGUGGUGGUACCAGGGGUCUCAUGCCUCUGCACAAUCAGAGCAGAGCCUGCUUUUAAUGAGGCGCCUGUUUAUUAAGUCCACUCAGGGAGGCUGUGCGAGUGCUUAGCAUUUGCUCUCUAAUUAGGAAAGCUAAACAGUCCCUUUUGCUGGGGAUCAAGCAUUUGGGGUGGGGGGGGAGCAGAGGCGAGGCUGUGCAUGGGGUGCAGAUUGCUUGGCCAAAACAAAUGAAGGAGGAGGAAGAGAGGAGGAUGAAGAGGAGGAAAAGAGAAGGAAAAAUAAAUAGGUUUUUGUCUUUGCAAACAAUAGGCUUAAAUUUUGGGGGGAGGAAGGGAAUUGAUUUUCACACACUGGGAAUGAUGAAGAAACCAAUAACUUGGAGCGCUAGCAGGUGCUACAACAUGAGGAGGUGGAUCCAUCUCAUUACAAGGACUCCCCCUGGUGGUUGAGUUAAAGAACUGCAGCAAAGAAUCACUGCAGUUUUGGCCUUUUUCCCCUGAUUAUUGAGAAGAUUUGGACCGUUUCAUGGUUUUAAUUAUGCACAGCUGUCUUAAAUAUGCGCUCCUAACUAAUAACUAUACUCUGACCGUAUUCCUUUGAGCGUGCGUGGGCGAGAGGACGCGUUUCCCAAAGCAGCACGACAGCCAUGAUGAGGAUGUUGACAGGGAAAACAACACCAUCCUGCCACAGCUCCUUUCCAUCCACACAAUAAAUGCCUCCUUGAUUACGCGCCUCCCCGCCUCGCAGAUUGCUGUUAAAGUGCAAGAGAAGACAGGCGUCUUUUUAGAUUAAGACCCUGAUCAAAUUUUCAUAACUCAAUUUUGGUUAGAGGUGGGAGGCGGGGUUCAAAAGUGUGUGUAAUCUGCUGUAAUCAAGUUCCAAUUUCAUCUGAGGCAAACUGUGACACUGAUAAUAGAGUCGUAACAGAUUUUUGGCUUUUACAAGUUAAACUGAAUAAAACAGAAGGUGUUUUUUUAUAGUUUAGAAAAGUAAACGUGUGAAACUCGAUCAAAUCAAAAUCCACCACCAGCAGUUCCAUUUUUCCAUCGUUUUAUCUGCCCUUUCGACAAGGUGAGCGUCGGGGAGUUUAUUCUAUAUUAAUGGGACACUGUUUGCUCCUUAUAAUUCAAUCUCAUAAAUAAUCCAGUUCCCCGAGUAAGUUGCUUUGUCCUGAUCCUGUCUGGAUCCUGUGAAACUGGAGUCCGCCGUUGGAAUAUCAACUAUGAGACCCAAACUACCCGUGCUGUUGGCCUUCAUACGUCCUCGAGAAUAGGGCGUCCAUGCUUUCCUAAAAGAACGUCAAACAUCGAUCUGUCAGAAAGUUUUCCACUUUGCUUCAAUCCAUAUUGAAAGAAUGAAUGUAAAUACUCCCCCUCACUGCAAAAACAGCCCUACUAGAGAGAAGCAAAAUAGUCUUAUAUUCAAUCAAAUAGAGAAUUCUUAAAAGAACAAAUUUAUUGGCCCCGACAAACUCAAAUGAAUCUAGAAAACUAGACAGAAAAUCUUCUAUUUAUCUCAUUUUUCUACAGCAAGUGAUGAAAAAUGAAGAUGAAGUUACUUAAAAUUAGAAUUUUAGUCUCUUGAAUAAAUGAAAAAUACUUUAAUCUAGGAUUAUUAAUGAGCAUGACAGCAGUUCAAAUAAGACAUAAUUUCUUAAAACAGCAGAGCAAAUAUAAGUGACGUUGUCUUAAAUCAAGAUACCAAAACAUUCUCAUUAAAUAUAUAUUUUUUAUUCCACAAGCAAGCAUGUGGUAAGAAAGCAUGUUCUUUGUUGUUUUGCCGUUCUCAUCUGGUCGUUGUAUUAUGUUGUCUUUUGUACAGACGAGCCUACUGACAUCUUUAUAUGUCAGAUAAUGGAUGAGGCAGCAGGUUCUGUCAGGUUUAGAUGACCUACAAUGGAAAUCUUAAUAAAACAAAUAAAUAAACAACUGUUGUUUAAUGGCAUUCUUAAAUUGAGAAGUGGUACAUAUGUCUUACUCUUAAAAUGAGACGAAUGAUCUUGUUGCUCCGCUGGAUUUUAUUGAAAAACAUUUUUCGACUCUAUUUCUGUUCAUUCUAUCUCAAAAUUAGCUGGAAUAUUUUAUCAAGAAAAAGUUCAUUUUCUCUUAAAACUAGAUUUUCCGCCUCACAACCAAUCAGAUUGAGGGAGGCGGAGAACGACUUUGUUUACAGUCAGAAAGAGCAGACCACUUAAAAAAUUUAAAACGUUGACAAAACAGACGUUAUAUUAUCAAAUGUCAUCACUGACUAAUAGCUAUUGACUGAUAUUAAAAGCUCUUUUGUAUUUACUCCACAAAAAAGAUGCUUCUUUAACAGAAUCGACUGUGUUCUAGUGAUUUUGAGCUGAUGCAGCGACUUGCACUACAGAGUCAUGCCUGUUUUUAGACAAACGGAAGCAUUUUUCAGUAGAUGGUUAUAAAGUUUUUAAUGUGGUGUACUUAAAUGACCCGUAACUCCAGUUUAAUCCCAACAGUCAGUCUAUUCAAACAGUAAUCACCUCUAUUACAGGACUGCUUCACUGACUGACAGUACAUGACCUUUUAACAUGUAGCUUUAUUUAUUCCUGUGUGCUAAUGGGGGUUACGUGCCUUAAUAUCCGCUCGACAUCUCUCUUUUCUCGCUCUUUUUUCCACUCUCGGUUGUGUCUGUCACCUCUCUCUCUUUUUCUUACUCUCCCAGACAGUCGACUGGUACGACCACACCAGACUGCGAGUAUUUUUAGCGCGGCCACAGAUGGGACCAUGGCAGCGUGUCAGCAACCAGAAUGUUCUUUAUCUCAGCUGUUGGGCCAAAAUGGACUCGUCCACCCGGGGAGAGAAGCUGGAAAUGACGGGAUGCUUUCCCCCCUUUCUCCCUUUUUUAUAAUCUUCAAAUUGGGGGUUUAAUCAAUCUUAAAUAACUCCUUCUGUUGGAGGUGGUAAUGGAGGGAAACGCCAGCAAUUGCUGCGUCAGCUCUUGAAUGGGAGCUGAAUCCAAACCUGUGAUCAGCAGAGGUAAAAUUACAGGCCAGACUUUGGAAGAAAAUAUGUUUUUACUACAAAAGACAGAUCUCUGAAAAGACUGAAUCACCUGAUAUGAGGACAAAUUACCAGGUUAGUUAUACUCAAGAGUUACAGCCUUGCAGCUGUUUGUCACUGCCAACCAGUGAAAUUGAAACAAACGUUGAUGUAUGUAUUUCCAAAUAGAAAGGCCGCGAG
Xyrichtys novacula (pearly razorfish) is the source of this 3280-nucleotide non-coding RNA. The record is from the annotation of a GenBank genome assembly. NCBI's taxonomy places the organism in Eukaryota, Metazoa, Chordata, Actinopteri, Labriformes, Labridae.